GGAGAAGGAGAUCCGUUCCACUCUCAAAAUGAAACUAAUCUCCCUCGUGUUUGUGCUUGUGGUGGCUGUGGCAGCAGUCUUGGGCAGCCCCGUCCCUGGCAUCCCCCACGGACAUGCUGGUUUCGGUCAUCACCAAGUCAGCAGCUUUGUCGGUCUUAGCCAACUUCCCGUCUUCGUGUCGCCCCGCCAAGUGAGCCGCGCCGAACUCUCUUACGCCAACGUGUCUCCGAUCCGCGUCGUGCGUCCUCUGGGAUUCGUGAAGACUUCCAAGAGACCGCACUACUAAUACUCUACGAGGAGCGCCACGAGCCAGUUGGAUGACCCGCAGCAGCGCUAACAAUACUGCUCAGAUGCUUCCUCUAUACGAGUAUGACCUGGUUACGAAAUGUUCUUUGUACUGAAUAAACUGCGAUAUUUUU
This is a long non-coding RNA of Eriocheir sinensis (Chinese mitten crab), 419 nucleotides long. RefSeq lists it as uncharacterized. NCBI's taxonomy places the organism in Eukaryota, Metazoa, Arthropoda, Malacostraca, Decapoda, Varunidae. The record is from RefSeq and is a predicted model, not a curated record. The transcript is spliced from 2 exons.